UACGUAGUCUGCUGCAUGCAGGAAGACCCGU
This 31-nucleotide ribosomal RNA is filed under the name Trichomonas gallinae. RNAcentral's name for it is "partial 28S ribosomal RNA". The record is from RNAcentral. Lineage: Eukaryota; Parabasalia; Trichomonadida; Trichomonadidae.